UCUGGGUCAAUACACAUUUUGUUUAGUUUCCUUCUUCUGAUUACAUUCUCUACAUAUUAACUUAAAUAAAAAGUGACAAAAGUCAAGGAUAACCAUGCUUAACUAUUCUUCGUAGAUAUGUAAGUGUUUCUCAGUACAUAUUAGUUGUUGAGAAUCAAUUAGGUGAAGAAAUGCUUUUAUAUUUUACAGGAAAAAUUAGGAUAAACCUUGAGGUGUUUUCUUAAGACUUUCUAUUGAAAAGAUAGUCGAUGUUGAACUUGCAGUUUUCCAGAAAUUAGCAAAUGACCAGUUCUGCCAUGCAAACCAUUGCAUUGUCAUCUCUAUAAGCAGUUAUUAGUAAGCUUUUAGAGCAUAUUGGAUUGGAGAUGGAUCUUCCAUUUAUUAAUAAGCAUUUUUUUGUUGAUUUUGAUGAGUAUAUGAAAUGGAUUACACGAACUGUUGUAUUUUUGUGGGUGAAUGUGUCUGUAGUGAUGUCGGUGAGUUUGGUUGAUAUUAUUAUUUUAAUCCUUGAUGAAGAUGAUCGUCCUUUGGAGCUUGGUUAGUGCUGAAAUUCAGGAACUGCUUUUGAAUUUAAGUUUUGUUUUGCACUGCUUUUGAAGUAUUAAUUUAUAUUUCAUAGUUCUGCUACCUUUAACUACUACUUCCUCAUUUGUUAUGCUGUUGAACAAAGCAAGCGGCACAUAGACUAAGGAUUAUAUUUGGAUUAUCUGGAUUGAAAGCUGCUGAGAUUCAAAUCUUUGCUUUGUAGUUAUAUAAUCAGCUUCCAAAACUAAUGCUCAGGUAGAAAAAUACUUAUUUGUAGCAGCUGUAACUAGAUAUGCAGAAUAGACAAUCUAGAUUAAUGGAUGUCAGUGGGAACUCUCAGUGGAGAUAUUUAUCUGCGGGCAUGUCCUGGUGCGUGCGGCUGUUAAUUAUGAGAAACCAAAGUCUGGGUCAAAGUAUCAAUAUGCAGAGUUCAAAUCAACAAGUUAAUUCUGAAUUAGGUGUCAUUGGUCGGGUCUAGGGGAGGUUCGAUUCGAUUAAGGAGUUGUUUGAAUGAUUGAUUGAGGGGAUUAUCAGUUGGUCGCAGCUCCUUCGCUUAUCAAAUAACGUAGCUUUGCAUUUGAAUUCUAUCGCAUCAAGUAAUAUGUAUCCUGAGGCUGAAUGUUUCGAUCGAUGUUUCGAGCCUGCUUUGAAUCAAUGUUGCAGCAUUCAGGGCAACCUUUCAUUCAUGGCAGCAAGGCAGUUUCUAACUGAUAUAUUCCAAAGAGAAGAAUCUUUCAUUAAAAGAACACAAACAAUUAGUAGAAAUGGUUUCCAAAGUCAAGGUUUCCAUUGAUAAGUUAUUUGGUGACUUGAAUAUUAAUGAUUUGAAGUCGGACUUGAAGUCUAGAACAGAAAAUUGAAGCUCUUAGAAAAUGUGGCGUCGUGCCGUUCCAUUGAAAACUUGCCUGGUCACUGAAGGAAGGGUCCGUUGUUAUCAUCCUACGUUGCACUCAGGCAUAUGUGCUAACGGAUGCCACCUCCCAAUGAGUUUCGAUUUCAGACCAGGUUCCUGUCAUCAUUAAUGCCAUAGCCUAAUCAGUGCAGGAUUGUGUCCAGCAACUAAAAAUUCUUUUUGGCUCCAACAUAACAAAACUGUGAUUCAAGUGGAGUUUCUCAAAAACAAGUCAUAGCUGCACUACGUAUUGUGUAAUUUUAUGUAACCUACAUAGCCCAAUUUUUUGUAUUUGGUUGGGUAUUUGUAAUAUGUCUGCUACAAUUAUGAACCUAUUUUGUUGACUGUUUCACUGUAAUGUAUUAACAAAUCAUUCUUUU
Molecule: long non-coding RNA, 1797 nt
Organism: Vicia villosa (hairy vetch)
Lineage: Eukaryota; Viridiplantae; Streptophyta; Magnoliopsida; Fabales; Fabaceae
Exons: 5
Source: RefSeq, a predicted model, not a curated record